This 449-nucleotide ribosomal RNA is filed under the name uncultured bacterium. Its description in RNAcentral is "partial 16S ribosomal RNA". It matches the Rfam family "Bacterial small subunit ribosomal RNA", at positions 29 to 523 of the family's 1533-position model. The record is from RNAcentral.
AACGAACGCUGGCGGCAGGCCUAACGCAUGCAAGUCGAACGCCCUAGCAAUAGGGAGUGGCAGACGGGUGAGUAACGCGUGGGAAUAUCCCCCUCAGUACGGAAUAGCCCAGGGAAACUUGGAGUAAUACCGUAUACGUCCGUGAGGAGAAAGAUUUAUCGCUGAGGGAUUAGCCCGCGUCGGAUUAGCUAGUUGGUGAGGUAACGGCUCACCAAGGCGACGAUCCGUAGCUGGUUUGAGAGAAUGACCAGCCACACUGGGACUGAGACACGGCCCAGACUCCUACGGGAGGCAGCAGUGGGGAAUCUUGGACAAUGGGCGCAAGCCUGAUCCAGCCAUGCCGCGUGAGUGACGAAGGCCUUAGGGUUGUAAAGCUCUUUUGCCGGGGACGAUAAUGACGGUACCCGGAGAAUAAGUCCCGGCUAACUUCGUGCCAGCCGCCGCCGUAA